AUUGCGGAAGCUUUGCUUGUUGUCGUAUUAUUUUAAAAUCAAUUGUAUUUUUUGAAAACGCUCCCUAAAGCUAUCCAAUUUCAACAGUUAAAAUAAGUAAUACCUAUCUUAGUAAUACAUAUUAAAACUAUCAAAAAUAAUUAAGCGACCUUAUUACAUUUAAAAAACCCAAAACUUCAAACGUAAAUAAAAGGAUGUCCAGUUCACCAGAAGAAAACCAAACUUUCAGAACGGGUGGCCACUUCGAAUUCCCUCACAGCUUCAAGCCCACUAUAGUUAAGGAUUUCCUGCGUGGAUGAAAAUAAAAGGGGUGAGUUUAAGAAAACUCAGUGUGUAAAGAAAACCUAUUCAAAGCCCAAGUCAGCUCAAGCCUAUUGGGCCUAAGCCCAUUUAGGUAACAGUGGUACUGGACCAGAGCCCUUUUCAGAUUACAAUAAACUGGGCCUUAGCCCCUUAUUCAGAUAACAGUAUGGCCCAUAGGCCCAUUUCAAAAUACAUGUAACAUCAAUAACAUAUGCAAGCCCAUUUGGGGAGACUACUCAACCCACCAACCACUACACUCCACCCGUACCAGCCAUACACUCCAUGUGGGGAAUAGCUCAACCCACCUAACCCAACACUCCACAGUUGCAGCCUUGCUGCUCAGUUAGCAGUAAAUUGAGGCAAAGCCUCCAGUACGUGGACAAGCCACUUUCAGUACUUCCUCCGUCAAUAUCUCAAUCCCAUGCAUCAGAUAAUAACAUGGCAUGCAGUAAAUAACAACAGCCAAACAUGCAUUUAGGUCAAUUUAACCCUAGGGGUAUUUCGGUAAUUUAUCUACUAGGGGUAAAACUGUAAAUUUUCCAUUUUUAAAGGUAUUUUAGUAAUUUAUCUAUUUUAGAGUUUUUCAUGCAUAUUCCUACUUUUCACGUACUAACAGAAUCACGUACCGAGUGUUCUUACCGAAUUGGGCCUGUUGGCCCAUCAUUUCAAUUUUGGCCCAUUAAGCCCAGAAAUAUCGAGGGCACAGAAAUAAUACAUUUCACAGUCCAAAUUUUGUAGCUUACCAAAAACAUUAAUCGAUUUACCUCACGAGCAUUUGCAUACUCGUAAAUUUACAAAAUACUAGUUUUCAGCAUUUUGAUUUGUCAACUUUUGUCGAUCCAGACUAAGAAAGAGGGUGUUAGUUACAUACUUGUUUGCGACGAUAUGCUGAUGAGAUCUACACACGAACCGCCUACAAUUGGAUUACUAACACGUUAAUCUAACUAUUCAAAUACAAACUACGUAUUAACCCCUUACAAUAUUCGGCCAACCACACCUACAGAUCAUAGUAAGCUUAUAAGAAAUCAAUAAGCAACUCAUUAACAAAUUUUUGUCAAUGUUAACCACAUAAUCAUAAUUUCACUGCAAGCUGUCUUCUUGAGAAAUAGUCACUAAAUCAUUUAUAACUGGUGCUACAAAACUCCAAAUCAAGUGCCGUUAAUUUUCCCUGAAAAUACUCAUAUAUCUUAUAUCCAUAAAAUUUUCAGAAUUUUUGGUUUGAUCAAUCAAUACCAGAUAUUUCUCAAAGUUUCGCAUGUUUCACUGUUUGACUAAUCUGACCACUCUUCAUUACGAAUCAAAUUUUUCAUUGUACAGAAUUCAAAAUAUGUUCUCGUUUAUUUCAUUUGAAACUAGAUGCAAUAAGCUUUAAUUACAUAAUUUAUUCAGCUUCUAAUUCAUCUCCCACAAUUUAUGGUGAUUUUCCAAAGUCACGUUACUGCUACUGUCCCAAGCAGAUUUAUUACCAAAUUCACUCUUUCACACAUAACAUGUAUAUCACCAAUCAAUCAUCACAUAUCUAUGAUUUUACUUAAGUAUAAUCUCAAUUUCAUCAUUUUAAAGCACAUGUUAGCCGAUAUUUCCCCUUAGCAUCUAAGGCACAUACAUGCUCAUUUGUUUGGCUCAACUUCACCUAUCUUUCAUUUUUUAUCAAAAGAACAUGAAACAACAACCAUUUCCUUCGUUUUAAUUCAUGACUAAAUGCUCACAAUACAACUAAAAACUAAAAUAUGCUUCAAGAGUUAAGGUAGAAUCAAGAACUCAUGAACCUCAAAAUAAAAAUAAACUACCAUGAACUUACCUUCAAUUUUUCUUCCCCAAGUGACCGAACAUUCAAGAGCUUUCUCUUCUCCUUUCUCUUCUCCAACUUUAGGCUAUAAUGAACAAAGAUGGACAAAACUUUAUUCUUUUCACCCCUUUUUCUUUUAAUAAAAUUUAAUAUUUCAUUUAUUUAAUUCUUUAAUACAAAAGAUAUGAAAUUUCCAUCAUGAAAUAUUUAUUUAACCCAUUAUCAUGAAACAUUUACCUAACCCAUUAUCAUGGAACAUUUACCUAACCCAUUAUCAAUUUGUACCAUGAAUUAUAGAUAUCAAGUGUUCAUAUUGUCUACAACAACAUGAUGGCUGACUACUUCAUAUAAAAUGAGAGGUUUGUCAUGCAAAUCCUUCUAUUUUACACUAUUAUUUAUUUGGCCACUUCAAUUUAGCCUAUAGCAUUUUCAAACAUUUUUACAUAGGUCCUAUUUCAUAAUUUCACUCACAAAUGACAAAAUUAAAACAUAAAAUUUUGUCAACAUUCACAGAAUUCCCGAAAAUUGAAACGUUAAAGCAAACGAAAGAAAAAAUCUUUUCAAAAUCUUAAAGAUAGGAUCUAUUCGAGAAUUGAAGGACGGAGCUCCAGGUUACUAUCACAAGAAAGAAAGGAGGUCUUCAUUAAAUCAAUGCUUCAGGCAAUACCAACCUACGCUAUGUCAUUUUCUCUUUUACUGAAAUCAUUAUGUGAGGAGUUAGAAAAUAUUUUUUGCUAAAUUUUGGUGGCAAAAUGGCUAUGGAAAAAAAAAUACAUUGGUGUCAGUGGAAGCAUGUGUCAUCCUAAAGAAGAGGGAGGGAUAGGUUUCAGAAGUAUAAAUCAAUUUAAUAUAUCAUUAUUAGCAAAGCAAGAUGGAGGAUUUUAAAUACCCCAAACUCUUUAGUUGCGUAAGUACUUAAAGCGAAAUAAUUUCCGAAUGAGGAUUUUUUGAAUUCGCGUUUGGGAAACAAUAGUUCUUAUAUAUGGAAAAGUAUAUGGGCGACAAAGGGCAUCUUGGCAGAAGGACUUUGCUGGAAGGUGGGUAAGGGCACGAAUAUUUCAGUUAUUAAUGAUGCUUGGAUUCCAGAUGCAAGAAAUUUCAGAUUAUCGUCGUUUGCUCAUAAUAUGUGAAAUUAUAAAGUUGCUGAGCUAAUUGAUAAUAAUGACAGAAAAUGGAAGCGGGAGUUGAUUGUCAAUACCUUUCCGGAGGAAGAAGCUGAAAAGAUCUUUCGUAUUCCUUUGGAGAAAGAACCUCAUGACGAUUUUUUGGUCUAGAGCGGUGAACCUUCAGGAGAAUACUCGGUUCGAACACCUAUAAACUAUUACAAAUUUCUGAAGAUCCUAGAGCUUAUGCUUUGCAAACCGACUACAGGAAGUUUUACAAAAAAACUCUAGCUCCUAAAUCUACCUUCAAAAAUUAAGAUUAGCGUCUGGAAAAUAUCAUGGAAUUAUUUGCCUACACGGGUUAACGUGCAGCAAAGGAGGCUAACAAAUAUUGUAAUUUGUCCUCGGUGUGGAAAAUGGGCAGAAACUAUGGAUCACCUUUUUCGCGAAUGUCCUGUUUUAGUGUAAGUUUGGACAGAAUUAUCAAUCCCGAAUUUUUUACAGGAAUCUAAUUUGGAGUUUCUACAGUGGCUCACCUGGGUUUUUACUCAGAACACUCCCUCUCAAUGUAGAAUAUUUUUUUGUGCGCUAUGGGCCAUUUAGGGAGAAAGGAACGCUAGAAUGCAUGAGAAGGUAAGCAGAACUGGGAAAGAAAUAGCUAGCUUUGUCAAUAGUUAUAUUACAAAACUAAAUGGGGUUGAAUAAAGAACCCCCAAAAUUUCGCAGGAAGUUAGAAAAUGGAAUUACCCACCUGGUCAGUAAAUAAAAUCAACUUUGAUGGAGCAUACGAUGGGCAACAUUUUCAAUUGGUUUCGGAGAUUGUGGCUAGAAAUAGCGAAGGGAAUGUUCUUCUAUCUUGUUCAGAAAUUCAUCAAGAAGUGGCCUCCGCCUUCACUCUGAAGCACUCGCUUGUCGCGAAGUAGCCCAAAUGGGAAUAUACAUGCGAUGGCCAAAGAUUGUUAUAGAAGGCGACUCAUUAUCAAUAAUGAAAAAGUGCAAGGCAGAAAAACAAGAUAAAUUGUAGGUAGGAGCAUAUAUACAUGAUAUUCAACAAAUAACAUCUAGAUCUAGAAACUUAGUGUUUGAAUAUAUUCCAAGAUCAGCAAAUGGUUUAGCACAUAUACUAGCAACUGAAUCGUUAAAAAAGGAGGAGGUGUACUUGUUAGAAAGCAUCCCUGGAUAUGCUAAAAACCAGAAAGAAUUUGAUAGAGUGCGAGAACCAGAUUGAAAACGGAUAGAGAAAAAAAGGAAGGAAGGAAAGUUUCAAAUGAGCAGAUCAAUGGUUUUGGUGAUAAAAGCUUUCGUUGGAAAACUUUAACCGUCUUUAAGAAGAAAUGGGAGAUUGAUAGACAAGACGGGCAUCAGUGUUCUUUGAUUGGGCAAAGUUGCGGUGAUAAUUAUGAGCUUCUAGACUAUUCUUAUUUUAUUUUCUUUUUAGAAAUUCUUUUUAAUUCGGGCCAUUUUUUAAUGUUGGGCCUUCUCUUCUGUUUUAGUUCUAUU
RNAcentral lists this long non-coding RNA (4695 nucleotides) under Gossypium barbadense (sea-island cotton). RNAcentral's name for it is "long non-coding RNA (GBAR_LNC009035)". The record is from RNAcentral. Lineage: Eukaryota; Viridiplantae; Streptophyta; Magnoliopsida; Malvales; Malvaceae.